Molecule: ribosomal RNA, 474 nt
Filed under: uncultured bacterium
Lineage: Bacteria
Description: bacterial SSU rRNA
Rfam family: Bacterial small subunit ribosomal RNA
Source: RNAcentral
ACUCCUACGGGAGGCAGCAGUAGGGAAUCUUCCACAAUGGGCGCAAGCCUGAUGGAGCAACACCGCGUGAGUGAAGAAGGGUUUCGGCUCGUAAAGCUCUGUUGUUAAAGAAGAACACGUAUGAGAGUAACUGUUCAUACGUUGACGGUAUUUAACCAGAAAGUCACGGCUAACUACGUGCCAGCAGCCGCGGUAAUACGUAGGUGGCAAGCGUUAUCCGGAUUUAUUGGGGCGUAAAGAGAGUGCAGGCGGUUUUCUAAGUCUGAUGUGAAAGCCUUCGGCUUAACCGGAGAAGUGCAUCGGAAACUGGAUAACUUGAGUGCAGAAGAGGGUAGUGGAACUCCAUGUGUAGCGGUGGAAUGCGUAGAUAUAUGGAAGAACACCAGUGGCGAAGGCGGCUACCUGGUCUGCAACUGACGCUGAGACUCGAAAGCAUGGGUAGCGAACAGGAUUAGAUACCCUGGUAGGCUAGCG